RNAcentral lists this ribosomal RNA (752 nucleotides) under Salmonella enterica subsp. enterica serovar Ohio. Its description in RNAcentral is "partial 23S ribosomal RNA". It matches the Rfam family "Bacterial large subunit ribosomal RNA", at positions 1 to 685 of the family's 2925-position model. The record is from RNAcentral. Lineage: Bacteria; Pseudomonadati; Pseudomonadota; Gammaproteobacteria; Enterobacterales; Enterobacteriaceae.
GGGUUGUGAGGUUAAGCGACUAAGCGUACACGGUGGAUGCCCUGGCAGUCAGAGGCGAUGAAGGACGUGCUAAUCUGCGAUAAGCGCCGGUAAGGUGAUAUGAACCGUUAUAACCGGCGAUUUCCGAAUGGGGAAACCCAGUGUGACUCGUCACACUAUCAUUAACUGAAUCCAUAGGUUAAUGAGGCGAACCGGGGGAACUGAAACAUCUAAGUACCCCGAGGAAAAGAAAUCAACCGAGAUUCCCCCAGUAGCGGCGAGCGAACGGGGAGGAGCCCAGAGCCUGAAUCAGCAUGUGUGUUAGUGGAAGCGUCUGGAAAGGCGCGCGAUACAGGGUGACAGCCCCGUACACAAAAGCGCAUGUGCUGUGAGCUCGAUGAGUAGGGCGGGACACGUGGUAUCCUGUCUGAAUAUGGGGGGACCAUCCUCCAAGGCUAAAUACUCCUGACUGACCGAUAGUGAACCAGUACCGUGAGGGAAAGGCGAAAAGAACCCCGGCGAGGGGAGUGAAAAAGAACCUGAAACCGUGUACGUACAAGCAGUGGGAGCCCCACCACUAAGCCAGUGGUGAACUCCACAUACGCAUCCUUUGCUGAGGAUACGGUUAACGGAGCGAAAGCGACGUUCAACCGCAAAAGAAGCAGAGGGGGCUUAGUGGUGGGGUGACUGCGUACCUUUUGUAUAAUGGGUCAGCGACUUAUAUUCUGUAGCAAGGUUAACCGAAUAGGGGAGCCGUAGGGAAACCGAGUCUU